GACGAACGCUGGCGGCGUGCUUAACACAUGCAAGUCGAACGGAAAGGCCCUGCUUUUGUGGGGUGCUCGAGUGGCGAACGGGUGAGUAACACGUGAGUAACCUGCCCUUGACUUUGGGAUAACUUCAGGAAACUGGGGCUAAUACCGGAUAGGAGCUCCUGCUGCAUGGUGGGGGUUGGAAAGUUUCGGCGGUUGGGGAUGGACUCGCGGCUUAUCAGCUUGUUGGUGGGGUAGUGGCUUACCAAGGCUUUGACGGGUAGCCGGCCUGAGAGGGUGACCGGCCACAUUGGGACUGAGAUACGGCCCAGACUCCUACGGGAGGCAGCAGUGGGGAAUAUUGCACAAUGGGCGGAAGCCUGAUGCAGCAACGCCGCGUGCGGGAUGACGGCCUUCGGGUUGUAAACCGCUUUCGCCUGUGACGAAGCGUGUGUGACGGUAAUGGGUAAAGAAGCACCGGCUAACUACGUGCCAGCAGCCGCGGUGAUACGUAGGGUGCGAGCGUUGUCCGGAUUUAUUGGGCGUAAAGGGCUCGUAGGUGGUUGAUCGCGUCGGAAGUGUAAUCUUGGGGCUUAACCCUGAGCGUGCUUUCGAUACGGGUUGACUUGAGGAAGGUAGGGGAGAAUGGAAUUCCUGGUGGAGCGGUGGAAUGCGCAGAUAUCAGGAGGAACACCAGUGGCGAAGGCGGUUCUCUGGGCCUUUCCUGACGCUGAGGAGCGAAAGCGUGGGGAGCGAACAGGCUUAGAUACCCUGGUAGUCCACGCUGUAAACGGUGGGUACUAGGUGUGGGGUCCAUUCCACGGGUUCCGUGCCGUAGCUAACGCUUUAAGUACCCCGCCUGGGGAGUACGGCCGCAAGGCUAAAACUCAAAGGAAUUGACGGGGCCCCGCACAAGCGGCGGAGCAUGCGGAUUAAUUCGAUGCAACGCGUAGAACCUUACCUGGGUUUGACAUGGAUCGGGAGUGCUCAGAGAUGGGUGUGCCUCUUUUGGGGUCGGUUCACAGGUGGUGCAUGCCUGUCGUCAGCUCGUGUCGUGAGAUGUUGGGUUAAGUCCCGCAACGAGCGCAACCCUUGUUCACUGUUGCCAGCACGUUAUGGUGGGGACUCAGUGGAGACCGCCGGGGUCAACUCGGAGGAAGGUGGGGAUGACGUCAAGUCAUCAUGCCCCUUAUGUCCAGGGCUUCACGCAUGCUACAAUGGCUGGUACAGAGAGUGGCGAGCCUGUGAGGGUGAGCGAAUCUCGGAAAGCCGGUCUCAGUUCGGAUUGGGGUCUGCAACUCGACCUCAUGAAGUCGGAGUCGCUAGUAAUCGCAGAUCAGCAACGCUGCGGUGAAUACGUUCCCGGGGCU
RNAcentral lists this ribosomal RNA (1346 nucleotides) under uncultured bacterium. RNAcentral describes it as "partial 16S ribosomal RNA". It matches the Rfam family "Bacterial small subunit ribosomal RNA", at positions 28 to 1381 of the family's 1533-position model. The record is from RNAcentral.